AGAGCAGAGGCACAGGUUGACCGAUGCUGACCCUGGGUCCACUCACCCUGUCAGAGAACAGAGCUCUGGAGUGAAUCCAGAAGGAGAGUUCCAGAGAGUUCCUGUCUCACCUCUCACUUGCACUGGCCUCUGUCUCCCUGGUAUUGAGGUCACUUUCAACACCCAUCUGACAUUCCUCCUCUAAAAAUAAACUGGGAAACCCAUUUUCCAAAGUUACUUACAAAUCCAUGACAACAUAUCGAUAAUUUCUGUUUAGACCAUCUAGAACUUUCAUAUCCUCUGAUGUCAACUGGAAUUCAAAAACCUACCAAAGAAGUAGAAAAUGUUUAUUCUUAGAUUGCAUAAUUGUCAACUUGGAAUAGCCAAGUAUAUCACACAGUAGGGUGUAGAGGCAAUAUGUAAAAUACUUGAUAAGUUUCCAAAAGUUAUGAAAGACCAUCUCUAAACUCUCAAGUGAUUAAAGAAUAUCAGAUAAAAUAUAAAUCUAUUCCUAGAUAUUACAUAUUGAAACUGCACAAAACUGAAGAAAAGAUCUCAACAGAAACUAAAGAUGGAACGAAGUUGACCUUAUGUGCACAUGAUUGGUUCAUGUACUUAGAUUCAGAAGAAUCUAGAGAAAUUUUGAAAUGUAUAAUUUAGACAGUUUGAUGGUGAUACAAUUUGGAUAUUUGUCCCCUCCUAAUCUCAUGUUAAAAAGUAAUUCCCCAAUGAUGGAAGUGGGUCCUGGUGGGAGGUGUUUGUGCCCUGGGGGCAUCCCUCAUGAAUGGCUGGGUGCCCUCCCCAUGGUAAUGAGUGUUCACUGCAUUAGUUCACAUGAAAUCUGGUUUAAAAAGGAGCCUGACAUUUUCUUUUUUUCCCUCUUCAUCUCUUGUUAUUUGAUAUGUUUCCUCCUCUGUCACCUUCUACCACGAGUAAAUGCUUCCUGAGCCCUCACCAAAACUAAAUGCUGGUGCCAUGAUUUUUGUACAGUCUGCAAAAUGGACUUUGUGGAAGUCUGAACUUAGUGAUGACUAAGGGUAUCUGGUGGAAGAAAUUUCUAAGCAGGAAAACAUUCAAGAGAUAGUGUGACUGCUUCUAACAGCCUAUGAUCAGGUAUGGGUGCAAAGGAAUGACCUAAUGUUGGAACUUAAAGCUUCCUGAAGCCUCUCCAGAAUGAGAUGCUGGUGCUAUGCUUUUUGUACAGCCUGCAAAUUGUGAGCCAAAUAUAGCUCUUUUCUGUAUAAA
This 1224-nucleotide long non-coding RNA is filed under the name Homo sapiens (human). RNAcentral's name for it is "novel transcript, antisense to AKR1C4". The record is from RNAcentral. Lineage: Eukaryota; Metazoa; Chordata; Mammalia; Primates; Hominidae.